CCUACGGGGGGCUGCAGUGGGGAAUCUUCGGCAAUGGACGAAAGCCUGACGCAGCAAUGCCGCGUGAGCGAAGAAGGCCUUCGGAUCGUAAAGCUCUGUUGUCCGGGACGAACAAGCGUGGGAGAAAAUGACGCGACCUUGACGGUACUUAAAGAGGAAGCACCGGCUAACUACGUGCCAGCAGCCGCGGUAAUACGUAGGGGGCAAGCGUUGUCCGGAAUUAGUGGGCGUAAAGCGCGCGCAGGCGGUCUUUUAAGUCUGAUGUGAAAUCUUGCGGCUCAACCGCAAGCGGUCGUUGGAAACUGGGAGGCUUGAGUGCAGAAGAGGGAAGCGGAAUUCCACGUGUAGCGGUGAAAUGCGUAGAGAUGUGGAGGAACACCAGUGGCGAAGGCGGCCUUCUGGGCUGUAACUGACGCUGAGGCGCGAAAGCGUGGGGAGCAAACAGGAUUAGAUACCCCUGUAGUC
RNAcentral lists this ribosomal RNA (465 nucleotides) under uncultured bacterium. RNAcentral describes it as "bacterial SSU rRNA". It matches the Rfam family "Bacterial small subunit ribosomal RNA", at positions 338 to 795 of the family's 1533-position model. The record is from RNAcentral.